Molecule: ribosomal RNA, 1795 nt
Filed under: Staphylococcus aureus
Lineage: Bacteria; Bacillati; Bacillota; Bacilli; Caryophanales; Staphylococcaceae
Description: bacterial LSU rRNA
Rfam family: Bacterial large subunit ribosomal RNA (bases 443-1795)
Source: RNAcentral
CGCAGAAGCUAACCACUCCUCUUAACCUUCCAGCACCGGGCAGGCGUCAGCCCCUAUACAUCACCUUACGGUUUAGCAGAGACCUGUGUUUUUGAUAAACAGUCGCUUGGGCCUAUUCACUGCGGCUCUUCUGGGCGUUAACCCUAAAGAGCACCCCUUCUCCCGAAGUUACGGGGUCAUUUUGCCGAGUUCCUUAACGAGAGUUCGCUCGCUCACCUUAGAAUUCUCAUCUUGACUACCUGUGUCGGUUUGCGGUACGGGCACCUAUUUUCUAUCUAGAGGCUUUUCUCGGCAGUGUGAAAUCAACGACUCGAAGACUCAAUGUCUUCUCCCCAUCACAGCUCAGCCUUAACGAGUACCGGAUUUGCCUAAUACUCAGCCUUACUGCUUAGACGUGCAAUCCAAUCGCACGCUUCGCCUAUCCUACUGCGUCCCCCCAUCGAUUAAAACGAUUAUAGGUGGUACAGGAAUAUCAACCUGUUAUCCAUCGCCUACGCCUGUCGGCCUCAGCUUAGGACCCGACUAACCCAGAGCGGACGAGCCUUCCUCUGGAAACCUUAGUCAAUCGGUGGACGGGAUUCUCACCCGUCUUUCGCUACUCACACCGGCAUUCUCACUUCUAAGCGCUCCACAUGUCCUUACGAUCAUGCUUCAACGCCCUUAGAACUCUCGUUAAGGAACUCGGCAAAAUGACCCCGUAACUUCGGGAGAAGGGGUGCUCUUUAGGGUUAACGCCCAGAAGAGCCGCAGUGAAUAGGCCCAAGCGACUGUUUAUCAAAAACACAGGUCUCUGCUAAACCGUAAGGUGAUGUAUAGGGGCUGACGCCUGCCCGGUGCUGGAAGGUUAAGAGGAGUGGUUAGCUUCUGCGAAGCUACGAAUCGAAGCCCCAGUAAACGGCGGCCGUAACUAUAACGGUCCUAAGGUAGCGAAAUUCCUUGUCGGGUAAGUUCCGACCCGCACGAAAGGCGUAACGAUUUGGGCACUGUCUCAACGAGAGACUCGGUGAAAUCAUAGUACCUGUGAAGAUGCAGGUUACCCGCGACAGGACGGAAAGACCCCGUGGAGCUUUACUGUAGCCUGAUAUUGAAAUUCGGCACAGCUUGUACAGGAUAGGUAGGAGCCUUUGAAACGUGAGCGCUAGCUUACGUGGAGGCGCUGGUGGGAUACUACCCUAGCUGUGUUGGCUUUCUAACCCGCACCACUUAUCGUGGUGGGAGACAGUGUCAGGCGGGCAGUUUGACUGGGGCGGUCGCCUCCUAAAAGGUAACGGAGGCGCUCAAAGGUUCCCUCAGAAUGGUUGGAAAUCAUUCAUAGAGUGUAAAGGCAUAAGGGAGCUUGACUGCGAGACCUACAAGUCGAGCAGGGUCGAAAGACGGACUUAGUGAUCCGGUGGUUCCGCAUGGAAGGGCCAUCGCUCAACGGAUAAAAGCUACCCCGGGGAUAACAGGCUUAUCUCCCCCAAGAGUUCACAUCGACGGGGAGGUUUGGCACCUCGAUGUCGGCUCAUCGCAUCCUGGGGCUGUAGUCGGUCCCAAGGGUUGGGCUGUUCGCCCAUUAAAGCGGUACGCGAGCUGGGUUCAGAACGUCGUGAGACAGUUCGGUCCCUAUCCGUCGUGGGCGUAGGAAAUUUGAGAGGAGCUGUCCUUAGUACGAGAGGACCGGGAUGGACAUACCUCUGGUGUACCAGUUGUCGUGCCAACGGCAUAGCUGGGUAGCUAUGUGUGGACGGGAUAAGUGCUGAAAGCAUCUAAGCAUGAAGCCCCCCUCAAGAUGAGAUUUCCCAACUUCGGUUAU